RNAcentral lists this ribosomal RNA (222 nucleotides) under Triticum aestivum (bread wheat). Its description in RNAcentral is "partial small subunit ribosomal RNA". Lineage: Eukaryota; Viridiplantae; Streptophyta; Magnoliopsida; Poales; Poaceae. The record is from RNAcentral.
AUGUUUGACUUCCUUAUGGGGUCCGGAUUCGAGCGGUUCCUCAAGCAGCUCGCCCAGAUCGAGGCCGGCGGCUUCGGCGCCGUCGGCCCCUGCGACAACCCACCGGACUGCAAGGCCGCCGUCAAGCCCAUGCCCACCGUCAUCGUCUCAGCCUACCCUAUCCACGUCGGCGUCGACUCCCACUGCGUCGUCUGCAAGGAGGCCUUCGAGCUGGGCGACUAG